AUGAGUCUCCCAAGACAUGGUAAAGGCUCGAGGGUCAAUUUGGAGGAAAAAACGGAAAACAGGAGGGACAGCAAUAGAAUCUGCUUAUACUAUAAAAUUGCAUGCAGAACAUUUUGUGUCUCAGGAUCUCUGUGUUUUGUUCCUGUGGCAACCAGCUGUGAGAUGAUAUACCUUCAGAACAGAGAGAUGGAGCGAAACUUCAUCCCAUGGGAAUGCAUCUCCUUUUUGCUCCACAGAGCCCCAUCCAUCAUUUUCGCAUUGCAGAGACCCAGCUGAUGCAGGCCCAGCAAGGGUGAGACUAUACAAAUAUAAUGAAAAUCAGUCAGGGGCCAAUUUUCCCUAUCAAGAAGGGAAUUGCAUUUCUCAGACAUGUGGGAAAAGAGAGGUUGAUUACACAUAACAUUUUUCCACAAAGGGAGUAGCAUAAGGGAGAACUCAAGCCAUGUAUGUUUUGAGAGGAAAUUCUCCUGUGCUAAACACAGUCAAGUGCCAUCUGUGCUUCUGACAGUUUCAUCUGACUGCCUGUUUAGUUAUGGGAUUGCUGAUGUGAGCAACUUGGAGGCACUUAUUCGACCCAUAUUCCAUUAUCUCAUGAAUGUUACAAGAGUUUGAAGUUUUCAGAAUAGAAUGUGGAAUGUGGAAUCACCCAAGAGAAAAUGGGAUGUUGCAUCCUACAUUAGUUCAUGUCAUUGGAUGUUAACAGAGAUCAAUAGUUUCUUUUGAUGAUGGUACCCUUGAGUAUUGAAUACUGAUGCCUCUGGAUAGCUGGGUGAGCUUUUCUGUCUGGGGGAUAGUGAAUGGGAAAAAAAAUCAGCAAAUUAGUGAUUAUAAUCACUGGCCUAUUCACCAGACAAUACAUGUGUGAGCUAGAGGAUGGCCACAAAGAGAUAACGAUUUAACAUCAUUUUGUAGAAGUGGCAUCAAGGAUAAAAAGCUAAUUAUCUCAACCAACAAUUGUAUGGAAAAGGCACCGAUAGUGUUAUGAUUUCAAUAUGGACCUGCAGUUUCAAAAUCCAGCAUUCUUUGUAUUCUAUUAUGCUAGCUGUUAUUCCCCUCAAACUCACCCUCAUCAUA
This 1074-nucleotide long non-coding RNA is filed under the name Callithrix jacchus (white-tufted-ear marmoset). RNAcentral's name for it is "lncRNA (ENSCJAG00000086329.1)". The record is from RNAcentral. Lineage: Eukaryota; Metazoa; Chordata; Mammalia; Primates; Cebidae.